RNAcentral lists this ribosomal RNA (252 nucleotides) under uncultured bacterium. Its description in RNAcentral is "partial 16S ribosomal RNA". It matches the Rfam family "Bacterial small subunit ribosomal RNA", at positions 524 to 776 of the family's 1533-position model. The record is from RNAcentral.
UACGUAGGGGGCUAGCGUUAUCCGGAAUUACUGGGCGUAAAGGGUGCGUAGGUGGUUUCUUAAGUCAGAGGUGAAAGGCUACGGCUCAACCGUAGUAAGCCUUUGAAACUGGGGAACUUGAGUGCAGGAGAGGAGAGUGGAAUUCCUAGUGUAGCGGUGAAAUGCGUGGAUAUUAGGAGGAACACCAGUUGCGAAGGCGGCUCUCUGGACUGUAACUGACACUGAGGCACGAAAGCGUGGGGAGCAAACAGG